Molecule: ribosomal RNA, 626 nt
Filed under: uncultured fungus
Lineage: Eukaryota; Fungi
Description: eukaryotic LSU rRNA
Rfam family: Eukaryotic large subunit ribosomal RNA
Source: RNAcentral
CCCGCUGAACUUAAGCAUAUCAAUAAGGCGAGGAACAGAAACCAACAGGGAUUCCCCUAGUAGUGGCGAACGAAUCGGGAAAAGCUCAAGUUUGAAAUCCGAGGUUUACCUCGGAGUUGUAAGCUGCAGAGGCAUCGAUCGACUCGGUCCGGGCUCAAUUUCCUUGGAAUAGGAGGUCAUGGAGGGUGAGAACCCCGUCUGUGGCUCGGGUGCCGUGGUCUUUGUGUCGUGCCCUCGAAGAGUCGGGUUGUUUGGGAAUGCAGCUCAAAAUGGGUGGUAAAUUUCAUCUAAAGCUAAAUAUUGGCGAGAGACCGAUAGCAAACAAGUAGAGUGAUCGAAAGAUGAAAAGUACUUUGAAAAGAGAGUGAAACAGUACGUGAAAUUGUUGAAAGGGAAGCGUUUGGCAUCAGCCCAUGGCCUUUGUCGAUCAUCCGGGUUUCUGCCCGGUGCUCUCGAUGAGGGUUGGGCCAGCGUCGACUUUGUCUGCCGGAGAAAGGCCUUGGGAAUGUGGUUCCUUUUGGAGCGUUAUAUCCCUUGGCGUCAUGCGGUCGGUGAGGUCGAGGUCUGCGGUUUAAAAACCUAGGACGCUGGCGUAAUGGUUCCAAGCGACCCGUCUUGAAACACGG